Molecule: long non-coding RNA, 397 nt
Filed under: Gallus gallus (chicken)
Lineage: Eukaryota; Metazoa; Chordata; Aves; Galliformes; Phasianidae
Source: RNAcentral
UAGACAUGGGGUAGGUGGACAGGGGACAGAUGGACAUGGGACAGAUGGACACAGCAUGCAUGAAUAUGGAUAGACUGACAUGGGAUGGAUGGAUACAGGGCGGGUGGACACGAGGUGGGAUGACGUGGGACGGGCAGACAUAGGAUGGAAGGGUAUGGAUAGAUGGACGUGGGACAGGUGGACACUGGGUGGAUAUGGGAUGGGCAGACAAGGGGUGGUGGAUGGACAUGGGGUGGACAGAUAUGGGAUGGAUGGAAUAUGGGAUGGGCAGACAUGGGAUGGAUGGACAUGGGAUGGACAGAUAUGGGAUAGGUAGAAAUGGGAUGGAUGGAUAUGGGAUGGACAGACAUGGGAUGGACAGAUAUGGGAUGGAUGGGCAUGGGAUGGACAGAUAUGG